CACCAGACUCCUACGGGAGGCAGCAGUGGGGAAUAUUGCACAAUGGGGGAAACCCUGAUGCAGCGACGCCGCGUGAGCGAUGAAGUAUUUCGGUAUGUAAAGCUCUAUCAGCAGGGAAGAAGAUGACGGUACCUGACUAAGAAGCCCCGGCUAACUACGUGCCAGCAGCCGCGGUAAUACGUAGGGGGCAAGCGUUAUCCGGAUUUACUGGGUGUAAAGGGAGCGUAGACGGCGAUGCAAGCCAGAUGUGAAAGCCCGGGGCUCAACCCCGGGACUGCAUUUGGAACUGUGUGGCUGGAGUGUCGGAGAGGCAGGCGGAAUUCCUAGUGUAGCGGUGAAAUGCGUAGAUAUUAGGAGGAACACCAGUGGCGAAGGCGGCCUGCUGGACGAUGACUGACGUUGAGGCUCGAAAGCGUGGGGAGCAAACAGGAUUAGAUACCCUUGUAC
This 447-nucleotide ribosomal RNA is filed under the name uncultured bacterium. RNAcentral's name for it is "bacterial SSU rRNA". It matches the Rfam family "Bacterial small subunit ribosomal RNA", at positions 329 to 793 of the family's 1533-position model. The record is from RNAcentral.